GAUCCUGGCUCAGAUUGAACGCUGGCGGCAGGCCUAACACAUGCAAGUCGAACGGUAACAGGAAGAAGCUUGCCUCUUUGCUGACGAGUGGCGGACGGGUGAGUAAUGUCUGGGAAACUGCCUGAUGGAGGGGGGAUAACUACUGGAAACGGUAGCUAAUACCGCAUAACGUCGCAAGACCAAAGAGGGGGACCUUCGGGCCUCUUGCCAUCGGAUGUGCCCAGAUGGGAUUAGCUAGUAGAUGGGG
This 247-nucleotide ribosomal RNA is filed under the name uncultured bacterium. Its description in RNAcentral is "partial 16S ribosomal RNA". It matches the Rfam family "Bacterial small subunit ribosomal RNA", at positions 15 to 257 of the family's 1533-position model. The record is from RNAcentral.